GACGAACGCUGGCGGCGUGCUUAACACAUGCAAGUCGAACGGAAAGACCCUGCUUUUGUGGGGUGCUCGAGUGGCGAACGAGUGAGUAACACGUGAGUAACCUGCCCUUGACUUUGGGAUAACUUCAGGAAACUGGGGCUAAUACCGGAUAGGAGCUCCUGCUGCAUGGUGGGGGUUGGAAAGUUUCGGCGGUUGGGGAUGGACUCGCGGCUUAUCAGCUUGUUGGUGGGGUAGUGGCUUACCAAGGCUUUGACGGGUAGCCGGCCUGAGAGGGUGACCGGCCACAUUGGGACUGAGAUACGGCCCAGACUCCUACGGGAGGCAGCAGUGGGGAAUAUUGCACAAUGGGCGGAAGCCUGAUGCAGCAACGCCGCGUGCGGGAUGACGGCCUUCGGGUUGUAAACCGCUUUCGCCUGUGACGAAGCGUGAGUGACGGUAAUGGGUAAAGAAGCACCGGCUAACUACGUG
This 468-nucleotide ribosomal RNA is filed under the name uncultured bacterium. Its description in RNAcentral is "partial 16S ribosomal RNA". It matches the Rfam family "Bacterial small subunit ribosomal RNA", at positions 28 to 507 of the family's 1533-position model. The record is from RNAcentral.